UAUUCCUACGGGACGCAGCAGUGGGGAAUAUUGCACAAUGGGGGAAACCCUGAUGCAGCAACGCCGCGUGAGUGAGGAAGUAUUUCGGUAUGUAAAGCUCUAUCAGCAGGGAAUAGAAAAGAGGGUACCUGAAAAAGAAGCCCCGGCUAACUACGUGCCAGCAGCCGCGGUAAUACGUAGGGGGCAAGCGUUAUCCGGAUUUACUGGGUGUAAAGGGAGCGCAGACGGCGAUGCAAGCCAGGAGUGAAAGCCCGGGGCCCAACCCCGGGACUGCUCUUGGAACUGCGUGGCUAGAG
This 296-nucleotide ribosomal RNA is filed under the name uncultured bacterium. Its description in RNAcentral is "partial 16S ribosomal RNA". It matches the Rfam family "Bacterial small subunit ribosomal RNA", at positions 334 to 646 of the family's 1533-position model. The record is from RNAcentral.